Non-coding RNA from Triticum aestivum (bread wheat), 161 nucleotides. The record is from Rfam. NCBI's taxonomy places the organism in Eukaryota, Viridiplantae, Streptophyta, Magnoliopsida, Poales, Poaceae.
AUACUUACCUAGACAGGCUCUAUGAAUGAUCAAUAAGGCUCAUGGUCUAAAUCAAUGGUUCACAUUGCACAUAGUGAGUGCUUUGAUUUACCCUCUUCCCUUUAUUGGAGAGUGAACAUCAUAAUUUGUGUUAGAGGGAAAUACAUGUUCGCGCGACCCUU